UACGAAGAAGGCUAGCGUUGUUCGGAAUUACUAAACGUAAAGCGCACAUAGGCGAUGAUCCAUGUCAGAGGUGAAAGCCCGGGGCUCAACUCCGGAAUUACCUUUGAAACGAGAUCGCUAGAGUCCGAGAGAGGAUAACGGAAUUCCUAGUAUAAAGGUGAAAUUCGUAGAUAUUAGGAAGAACACCGGUGGCGAAGACAGCCAUCUGGCUCGGUACUGACGCUCAAACGCGAAAGCGUAAAGAGCAAACAAG
This 253-nucleotide ribosomal RNA is filed under the name uncultured bacterium. Its description in RNAcentral is "partial 16S ribosomal RNA". It matches the Rfam family "Bacterial small subunit ribosomal RNA", at positions 524 to 776 of the family's 1533-position model. The record is from RNAcentral.